CUUUGGGGACUGGACUCUCUCCAGUGCCCUGGGGUCCUCUCCUUGACUUGGCUAUGAACUUGCUGAUGUGGAAGACCAUGUCAUAAUCAUCUCUGCAUAGAAACCAGGUAGUUGCAGAGUCUCAGGGAAUGUGUAUGGACUGUGGGACUUGAGGCUGGACCUUGGGAAGGGCCGCUGUGUUCCUCCACGUUCCACCAGCCUGGCUCUUCACCAAGGACCAAACUCGGGAGAUGGAUCAGGAAGGCAGUGCAGAGUGGGAGGGACCGGCAUGUCCUGGGAGCCUGCUGUGUGUGGAGAACUAUGCCUUCGUCGGCUCCUUUGAUCCUCACAGCAAGCCUGUGGGGUGGAGAGACUCGGCCCCAUUUCGUUGAUGAGAAAACGGAGACGUAGGGCAGUGAUUCUACUCUACGAUGGCUGGGACUCCCUGAGCCGUAUGGGAAGAAACAGGAUCCUCAUUUGGCUCUACGACGCCUCCUCCACCUGCUUCCCCUGCCACCCUCAGCCCCAGCUCCAAGGAUAUGAAAAGACCAAGUGCCAGUGGAUGACUGGGGGGAGAAAAGAGAGCCUGAAACUUAUUGCAGGAGAGGCCAGAGUGUGAAUGCGAAGCUCCUGCAGGGCAAUGGAGGCCUCAAGGACAUGUUGACAUAGCUGGGAGUCUUGCUGGUCCAUCUCUGUCAUUUAACAGCUCUGUAGGGUUCCCUGCUAUAGCCCCAGUGCCCACUCAUAGGUAUUUGUUGAACAAGUGAAAAAGAUACUCAACAAAU
Macaca mulatta (Rhesus monkey) is the source of this 764-nucleotide non-coding RNA. The record is from RefSeq and is a predicted model, not a curated record. NCBI's taxonomy places the organism in Eukaryota, Metazoa, Chordata, Mammalia, Primates, Cercopithecidae.